RNAcentral lists this ribosomal RNA (709 nucleotides) under uncultured bacterium. RNAcentral describes it as "bacterial SSU rRNA". It matches the Rfam family "Bacterial small subunit ribosomal RNA", at positions 94 to 820 of the family's 1533-position model. The record is from RNAcentral.
AGUGGCGGACGGGUGAGUAAGACGUAGGUGACCUGCCUCGAAAUGGGGGAUAACCACUGGAAACGGUGGCUAAUACCGCAUGAGCUGGUGGAGAUGGGAAUUUCUAUCAGGAAAGGUUUACUGUUUUGAGAGGGGCCUACGGCCGAUUAGCUAGUUGGUGAGGUAACGGCUCACCAAGGCGAUGAUCGGUAGCUGGUCUGAGAGGACGAUCAGCCACACGGGAACUGAGACACGGUCCCGACUCCUACGGGGGGCAGCAGUGAGGAAUAUUCGGCAAUGGGGGCAACCCUGACCGAGCAACGCCGCGUGGAGGAUGACGGUUUUUGGAUUGUAAACUCCUUUUCUCAGGGAAGAGCGAGGACGGUACCUGAGGAAUAAGUCACGGCUAACUACGUGCCAGCAGCCGCGGUAAUAUGUAGGUGGCAAGCGUUAUCCGGAAUUACUGGGCGUAAAGCGCACGCAGGUGGCUAUCUAAGAUUGACGUGAAACCUUCUGGCUUAACUGGAAGACGUCGUUGGUGACUGGAUGGCUUGAGACGAGGAGAGGGGUGCAGAAUUCCCGGUGUAGUGGUGGAAUGCGUAGAUAUCGGGAGGAAUACCAGUGGCGAAAGCGGCACCCUGGCCUUAGUCUGACGCUCAGGUGCGAAAGCGUGGGGAGCGAACGGGAUUAGAUACCCCGGUAGUCCACGCUGUAAACGAUGAACACUAGG